AAUUGGCGGGAAAGUUUUUUUUUGGCGGGAAAAAUAAAAUUUGGCGCAAAAAAAUUAGCGAGAAAAUUUCAGUUUCCAAUUACAUGUUUCUAUUAGAUGAGGGUAAUUUGAUCAUUCUGUUCAAGGGAAAAGGUAUUUUUAAAAAUAGACAAAACAAAAGGGGUUGUUACAAAAGAGUAGUAUUAAAAGGGUAAUUUUGCAAAUCUCCCUAGAUAAAAUACAUAUGUUUGGGUUUAGAAUAUUGACUCGGGUGAUCACUAAUU
RNAcentral lists this small RNA (263 nucleotides) under Arabidopsis thaliana (thale cress). RNAcentral describes it as "ATSL287380". The record is from RNAcentral. Lineage: Eukaryota; Viridiplantae; Streptophyta; Magnoliopsida; Brassicales; Brassicaceae.